Long non-coding RNA from Poecilia latipinna (sailfin molly), 332 nucleotides. RefSeq lists it as uncharacterized. The transcript has 3 exons. Lineage: Eukaryota; Metazoa; Chordata; Actinopteri; Cyprinodontiformes; Poeciliidae. The record is from RefSeq and is a predicted model, not a curated record.
ACUAACAUAAACCUCCACCAGAAUCCUUGGGACUGGUUGCGCCGAUUCCCAACCUCAUCAGCUUGGCAUCAAAAACAAAACGGUUUGACGUGAAUACCGUUUUCCGCCAAGCAAUUUACCGUGCGACACAGUACGGUAAGUUCACAGUACUGCACAGUACGGUAAGAAGUUCAACUCAAAUUUCGAGGCUUUCACCCCAAGUUGAGUGUCAAGUUUGUAAGGAUCCAGCUCAAAUCAAGUCUCAAGUCUUUGAAGGCCAACUCUGUUUAGCACAUUUUUAACAUUACCUUAUUAAAUAAAUUCUUGUUUGGUUCGGACCGGUUUAGCUCCUU